GUAGGUGAACCUGCGGAAGGAUCAUUAAAACGUAUCCACGUAUCAACCAAUCGUGAACUGUAACCUCUUUGGAACUCAACGGAAUGGCCUCUUCGAUUCCGCUUCGUGAUGAAAAGGCAUAGUUCUUCGGAAUUUUGUCCUUUUGGAAUUGAUUGGGUCGCGCUUUCGGGCGACGUGUUCUAAAGUGGUUCUUUUACCUCAUCACGGGUAAACCUCAUUCAACCAUUAUUAACACUUUGUACCUUUCUUG
Molecule: unclassified non-coding RNA, 250 nt
Filed under: plant metagenome
Description: partial contains small subunit ribosomal RNA, internal transcribed spacer 1, and 5.8S ribosomal RNA
Source: RNAcentral